GUACAUUUAUUAAGAAAUUAUUCAACAUAUAAUACAAAGAUUUCAAAAUCAUAAAAUAAUCUAAAUUGUAUAAAUAAAUUCUAAGGUAUAUUAAAUCAAAUUAAAGCAACAUUUGAUUGAGGUUAACAAAUUGAGAAAAACUUUAAGACAAUAGAUAGAUAUAAGAAGAUUUGGUAUGAGUGCCAAUGACACAACUCUCCACCCAAGUCAUAAUAAGUUCAUCUGUAAUAAAUAUUUUUAAACAAAGUAAAACAAAUACUUUAAAUAUCACAGUUUUCAUUGAAUACAAAGACUCCUCUAAUAACAAAUGUCUUAUUUGCAUAGGUGAUCAUUUCCUGAUAUUUUUGAAGAUUUCCUAAACUCCCCUCUUUUUAAUAUAAGCCUCAUGCACUGCAGUAAGAAUUUCCAGAAUUUUCAACAUUUGGAGUUGUCAACAGUACAUUUACAUUGCAUUGUAGUUUACUGUUUCCCAAAUUACAAGAUAUUGUUUUCUUCGGUUAUAUUUCAAAAGGAAUUUUUGUCAUACAAAACAGUGUAAGAAUAGAAGACUAAAAAUAAGAUGUUAAGAUUAUCAAACAAUUGAAAUGUUUUCUUUUUCAAUAGGGCUGGUAAUGUGAGCAUCAUAUAUUCAUAGUUCAUUUAAGCAGAGAACUUUGUUUUAAUUUGACUAUUCCUUUUAAGUCCAGUAAUAUGUCUUAAUUUCUUUCAAGUAUAUCAAACUGAAAAUAUCUCUCAUGAAAAUACAAAAUAACCCAUUUUGCUGUCAUUACAAAAACAGAAAACGACUACAAUAUCCUUGAAAAUUUCAAACAUCAAAGUAUUAUAUCAAAAGUAGACAAAUUUAAAGAAAACAUUUUAAAACAAAUAUAAAAAAUAUACAUUGCACACUUAAAUAUCUGAAGGCGUUAAUAUAAAAUCAUUGCAGUAAAAGUUUCAAGGGACUCAGGUUUUCCAACAAAGUCCUUAAGAAAUUGAUUGUUGGUGUUUUAACACCACUUUAAAGCGUUACUUUUGGGCUAUGUGAUGGCGGUCAGUUUUUAUGGGCGAAGGAAGCUGGAGUGCCCCGAGACAACUACUGACCUUCAAUAGGAAAACUUACAAUCCUAGUCGAUUUAAAAGAUUGGAGUUGAGUGGAACUGCACUCACAACCAGCAUGACCAGUGUUGACUGGCUAGUGAUUUCAGUAGUAGAACUACUUAGACAACUUUGCCACUGAAACCUAUAUAGGAAAGUUAGAAAAGACAUGAUACUACUUCUUACCACGUAAAACAAAAAUAAGCAUAAUUUCAACAGGAACAAAUUUGCAAUUGUACAAUUAGUCACAAUCCACAGGAAUUACUGAAAAGUCCCAUUAUAUAUGAGAAUGAUUGAAGUCAGGAAUGGUGGACAUCAGUAAGUAUAUAUCCCCAAGUACCUGUAUAAAUAGAAGCCCAGAUUUGGUAUAUAAAUCGUACCUUAUUUAUUACUAAACAUAGUACGGGACAUUUAAUGCAUCUGUAAUGCAUGCACCACAUGAUUAAAGUUUAUCUCCCUUUAUCAGAAAAUUAAUCUUUAUUAAAUCAAAAUUACCAUUGAAUGCUUCAUAUGUUUGUGAGAUAUGUUAGAAUAUAUAUUUAGGUAAAGUAAAAGUUAUGUUGCAAGUCUUCUUGAACGAAAGGAGAAUAACAAAACAUGAAAGUUAUAGAUAAACUAGCACAGUUAUAAAACACAUAUAUCUCUGUAGGCAAAGAUCAACAAUAUACAUGAUAUAUGUGAGCUAACAUGAUUGUCGCUAUUACUAUAUUAAUAUAUAGCACAUAAUUAUAUUUCUAUCUAAUAAAUAACAAUAAAAAGAGAGGUAUGGAAAACAAAAUAAUUAAACAAUAACAUUUAACAAUGAUAGUAG
RNAcentral lists this long non-coding RNA (1885 nucleotides) under Mytilus galloprovincialis (Mediterranean mussel). The record is from RNAcentral. Lineage: Eukaryota; Metazoa; Mollusca; Bivalvia; Mytilida; Mytilidae.